GAUGAAGAACGUAGCGAAAUGUGAUAAGUAAUGUGAAUUGCAGAAUUCAGUGAAUCAUCGAAUCUUUGAACGCACAUUGCGCCCCUUGGUAUUCCGAGGGGCAUGCCUGUUCGAGCGUCAUUAUAACCCCUCAAGCUCAGCUUGGUGUUGGGGCCUGCUGCACUGGCAGCCCUUAAAAUCAGUGGCGGCGCCAUCUGGCUCUAAGCGUAGUAAUUCUUCUCGCUAUGGAGUCCUGGUGGAUGCUUGCCAUCAACCCCCAAUUUUUCUAUGGUUGACCUCGGAUCAGGUAGGAAUACCCGCUGAACUUAAGCAUAUCAAUAAGCGGAGGA
This 329-nucleotide unclassified non-coding RNA is filed under the name soil metagenome. RNAcentral's name for it is "partial contains 5.8S ribosomal RNA, internal transcribed spacer 2, and large subunit ribosomal RNA". The stretch from base 1 to 120 matches the Rfam family "5.8S ribosomal RNA", at positions 35 to 154 of the family's 154-position model. The record is from RNAcentral.